This 497-nucleotide ribosomal RNA is filed under the name uncultured bacterium. RNAcentral describes it as "partial 16S ribosomal RNA". It matches the Rfam family "Bacterial small subunit ribosomal RNA", at positions 28 to 507 of the family's 1533-position model. The record is from RNAcentral.
GAUGAACGCUGGCGGCGUGCCUAAUACAUGCAAGUCGAGCGAACAGAUGAGGAGCUUGCUCCUCUGACGUUAGCGGCGGACGGGUGAGUAACACGUGGAUAACCUACCUAUAAGACUGGGAUAACUUCGGGAAACCGGAGCUAAUACCGGAUAAUAUAUUGAACCGCAUGGUUCAAUAGUGAAAGACGGUUUUGCUGUCACUUAUAGAUGGAUCCGCGCCGCAUUAGCUAGUUGGUAAGGUAACGGCUUACCAAGGCAACGAUGCGUAGCCGACCUGAGAGGGUGAUCGGCCACACUGGAACUGAGACACGGUCCAGACUCCUACGGGAGGCAGCAGUAGGGAAUCUUCCGCAAUGGGCGAAAGCCUGACGGAGCAACGCCGCGUGAGUGAUGAAGGUCUUCGGAUCGUAAAACUCUGUUAUUAGGGAAUAACAAAUGUGUAAGUAACUAUGCACGUCUUGACGGUACCUAAUCAGAAAGCCACGGCUAACUACGUG